Molecule: long non-coding RNA, 414 nt
Organism: Pogoniulus pusillus (Red-fronted tinkerbird)
Lineage: Eukaryota; Metazoa; Chordata; Aves; Piciformes; Lybiidae
Exons: 4
Source: RefSeq, a predicted model, not a curated record
AAUAUGUGCCAACAUGUUGGAAUGAGGAUAUAGAGGAGAAGAGCAGUGGAUCUGGGGAAACUGAAAAAGGCUCCUGAGCCCCAUUUUCUGUAAGAAAGGCAUCCCCUCAGAUUUGUGAGGGCCUAGAGGAAAAGGUUAAGAAUUUAAAAUCAGAGAGCAGGACAGACAUGCUGUUUCCAUGAGUAACACUAGUGAAGCCAGAAAGAAUUACUCUCAGUUCUUAUCAACCAUCAGGGUAUACAGAACUGAUUUUUCUACUUUCUUCAGCGCUGUGCACGUGUUUUAAGUCAAACUUCCUCAUGCAGAAGUGCCGCUUUCUUUGGGGAUGCACAGAGGACUCUGCAUGAGGCAGAAGGCAUCUAAGUCACAGGCUGAUGGCAACUGGAGUCACAGGCUGAUGGGAACUGAAGUCAC